AUGAUUUCCCCAAGCUGCAGCCCUUCCAGGACCACUGGGAAGAAUCCUUGAUGCUCCUUCUGACACCAGUCGUCAUCUGAUGGGCUUCUCUUCAGAAAGGGCGAACACUUUUAAAAGUGGCUGUGGAAAGCCGAGGACGGCUAUGGGGCUGAAAGACCCCGUGCCCAAGGUCAGGGGGUCAGGGCUUGGAUUCUGUUCUUCAACUCAGGCAGAGUGGGAAGGACUCUGCUCUCAUCAAAUACUGACUGUCUGUGCACAACCUAGGUGGACAGGGCUGGGGUGAGGUCAGGAGACACAGAAGAAGCCUCCCCUGCCUGUGCAGAGGCUUCCAGUCCCCACGUGUGAAAGGGUAUGAGUGGAGUGGGGUAGUCCAGCACAUCCUCCUGGGUGGGCCGACCUCAGAGACGCAGGGGUAGCUGCAGUCCCUGUGCCCGCAGGAACAAUCGGAAAGUCGGGAAGUAGAACCCGAAUGCUAGCGAGGAGCCUCAGGCUCCGGGACAGCAUAUACCACCAUCACUUCACUCUAAACGCUCAAGCAAUGGAGAGGGAGGCCUCACACUGCACAGCAGCUUGGCAGCUACCAUUUAACUUGCCGGAUGACACACGGGGAUGUGUCAGGUGGAGGACGUGAACUACAAGUGAAUCGCCAACUUCCAUCACAAUGGAGACGCUGCUUUUAGCGAAGUCCUCAGGCCUUGUGGCUUUCUUGUGACCACCACCGCCACGCUGCUCUCCUGAAUGGGGAGCACAGGAGUGGGGCAGACUGAGGUGAAGAGUGAGGGCACCUGAGGUGAAGAUGAGGACCCCAGAUUAGUCACCACGCACACAGCACGGAGCGUCCCUGAUUUGAGAAGCAAAAACAGUCAUUACUAGAUUGGUUCUCUGUCGCCGAGUGUGGGGGGACAAACAAUGCUGCACGAUUUCUGCUUGUGUAGCGUCUUUCAAACCGUACCAUGCCCCAGCGACGCUCGAGCUGCUGUAAAUAGUACACUCACCACGAUAAACAUUCUAAACAUC
Non-coding RNA from Rattus norvegicus (Norway rat), 1017 nucleotides. The record is from RefSeq and is a predicted model, not a curated record. Lineage: Eukaryota; Metazoa; Chordata; Mammalia; Rodentia; Muridae.